GACGAACGCUGGCGGCGUGCCUAAUACAUGCAAGUUGAGCGCUGAAGGUUGGUACUUGUACCAACUGGAUGAGCAGCGAACGGGUGAGUAACGCGUGGGGAAUCUGCCUUUGAGCGGGGGACAACAUUUGGAAACGAAUGCUAAUACCGCAUAAAAACUUUAAACACAAGUUUUAAGUUUGAAAGAUGCAAUUGCAUCACUCAAAGAUGAUCCCGCGUUGUAUUAGCUAGUUGGUGAGGUAAAGGCUCACCAAGGCGAUGAUACAUAGCCGACCUGGGAGGGUGAUCGGCCACAUUGGGACUGAGACACGGCCCAAACUCCUACGGGAGGCAGCGGUAGGGAAUCUUCGGCAAUGGACGAAAGUCUGACCGAGCAACGCCGCGUGAGUGAAGAAGGUUUUCGGAUCGUAAAACUCUGUUGGUAGAGAAGAACGUUGGUGAGAGUGGAAAGCUCAUCAAGUGACGGUAACUACCCAGAAAGGGACGGCUAACUACGUG
RNAcentral lists this ribosomal RNA (497 nucleotides) under uncultured bacterium. RNAcentral describes it as "partial 16S ribosomal RNA". It matches the Rfam family "Bacterial small subunit ribosomal RNA", at positions 28 to 507 of the family's 1533-position model. The record is from RNAcentral.